AUGGCGGCCUUCUCGUCCUCGGAGGGAGCUCACACACGGAGGGACCGCGACUUCUUACGCGCCCUGACAGUGUCCCAGCAGCGGAGCUGCUGCGCCCUGCGCACAACCAAUCGGUUUUUCAUCGCCGCGUCCUUAUUGUACAGAGUGCAGGCCGAGGCGCUCGGCGGCUUCCAUAGAAGGACGCAGUGUUUCCGACGAGGCCCUGCACACCCGCCCCGAGCAGCAGCGGACACCGGGCGGCACCGCCGGACCACACGAACGCACGGCAGGCACAGGCUCCGGCCCUGCACGGCCUCCUGCACGCCCCUCCCCUCCACCCCUCCUAUUGGCCAGCCCUUCCCCGUUCGGCCAUCUGAUUGGUUUUCACUGCUGCCUAUUAUUGGCGCGCCCUUCAUCCGGGCGCGUGGAGGCGUGACGUCACUCGACACGACGCGCCGCGCGGUGGAUGGGGGUGAGCGUCACGUGACCCGGGGCCGCGGCGGUGCGGGGCUGAGGGGAACCAUGGCUGCCCCUCUGUCCCCCACGGUGGUGCUGGGCGAGGCCUCGGAGAGCGACUCGGAGCCGGAGCCGGGGGGGACCGCAGCCGGGACCCGUGCGGUGGGGCUGAAGGUUCCUGGGGAGGCGUCGGAGACUGAGGAGGAGGAGGAAGAGGACGGCGUGUCCCGAGUGCCACUGCCGGGGGUGUCCCGGGGGGGCACCUCACUGCUGCAGCAGCGGCUGGGGGCGGGAGAGGGGCGGCUGCGGGGUGCGAUGGCUGAGGCGCUGGGACGCGGUUUCAGUGGGGCUGCGCGGCUGCUGGAAGGCCUCGGGGGACCCCUGGGCCAAGCUCAAGCUGGGGCAGCUGCUACCGCACACUGCCUGUGCCUGGUGCGCCGUGAUCUGCGUGCUGUGGCUGCCACCGUAGCCACCGUCACCACCUGCCGCCUGACAUCUGUGGGGUGCUGUGAGAGUGAGGACCCCGGUGGGGCAGUGCUGGCAGCCGUGGGGAGCUCCUGGCUUCGUUGUCGCUGUGUUACUGCCGGUAACCUCCAGCGCUGUGUCCGGUGGACUUGAGGGUUGUGGUUGUCACUGAUGCGUUCUUUAUUGUCGCUGCCUUUCCGGCGCAGUGUCCCCUUGAGUUGAUGCUGCCAUCAGCAGCACUGCUACUGAUCACUCAGUGUCUCAGCAGUGUUCCUGUGUCUCCUGGCCUGUGGGACCUUGGCCUCACAGUAACGCUGUCACCGGAUGGAAGCUCCUGACAAUUGCUUGGUCAGAAUUCUGUGGUUUUUUUGCCUGUUUGGGGGAUCUGUGGGUUGUGGCACUGAUAAAGCCUUUGGAGGACGCAGCUGCAGCAAGGACGUGACUUUCACUAGGUGGGAGGCAGUGUGUUCACCCGUGGCACCGUGCUCCCAGUGGUCAGAGCAAGGUCCCUUUUGUUGCCCCCCAUGUCCCCAAGCUGUGGUUGUGUCUUUUCCUGCCGUAUGAAUGUCCCCGGCACCUGACCACUGUCCCCAAGCUGUGGCUACAUCCUGUCAUCCUGAGUGCCCCUUGGCCAUGUCCUCAGCCUGCUAUUAGCUCUGUGUGCCCCUCUGAGAACUUCAACCAGGAACAGUGAGAAGCACCCAUGACACACAAUGGAGCCAUGUGGGUCUAUCACACUGCAUCCUGCCUGGGCUCUCACCCUCUGUGGGAUACUAGAGAUACACCCUGGGUGCAAGUGGGCUUGUGGCAUCAAAAUGCCUGGGGCGGGCCCAGUGAGGGUCCUGGGGACUCCUGGUGUCUCCAGGAGGGUCCCAGAUGUCCCCAGGGACUGACCUGAGGGGUAGUGGAAAACCAGGAUGAAGGUUCACUUUCCUCAUUCCCCUGUGUUGUGGCAAAGGGAAGAGGUUUAUGAAGGGGCACUGUGGUGUUAGAUUCCUUUCGUAAGGAUUCUAGACCUCAGUUCCCUUCCUGUGUCCAAACCAGAAUGAAAAAUGUAUUAAAAUCCAUCUUUUGAGGAAGAACCUCUGAGUUCAGUGUUUUGAUAUUCUAGAUAAGCUGUUCCAUGAGGAGUGCUGGGUGAUGCUGACUGAUAC
This is a long non-coding RNA of Coturnix japonica (Japanese quail), 2054 nucleotides long. Lineage: Eukaryota; Metazoa; Chordata; Aves; Galliformes; Phasianidae. The record is from Ensembl.